GUCUAUGGCCAUACUACCCUGAAUAUGCCUGAUGUCAUCUGAUCUUGGAAGCUAAGCAGGAUCAGGCCUGGCUAGUACUUGGGUGGCAGAAAUACAGGGUGUACCAAGAGUCACCAUAAAUA
RNAcentral lists this ribosomal RNA (122 nucleotides) under Microcebus murinus (gray mouse lemur). The record is from RNAcentral. Lineage: Eukaryota; Metazoa; Chordata; Mammalia; Primates; Cheirogaleidae.